RNAcentral lists this unclassified non-coding RNA (344 nucleotides) under soil metagenome. Its description in RNAcentral is "partial contains 5.8S ribosomal RNA, internal transcribed spacer 2, and large subunit ribosomal RNA". The stretch from base 1 to 119 matches the Rfam family "5.8S ribosomal RNA", at positions 35 to 154 of the family's 154-position model. The record is from RNAcentral.
GAUGAAAACGCAGCGAAAUGCGAUACGUAAUGUGAAUUGCAGAAUUCAGUGAAUCAUCGAGUCUUUGAACGCACAUUGCGCCCCCUGGUAUUCCGGGGGGCAUGCCUGUCCGAGCGUCAUUGCUGCCCUCAAGCACGGCUUGUGUGUUGGGCCUCCGUCCUCCUCCCGGGGGACGGGCCCGAAAGGCAGCGGCGGCACCGCGUCCGGUCCUCGAGCGUAUGGGGCUUCGUCACCCGCUCUUGUAGGCCCGGCCGGCGCUUGCCGACACAUCAAUCUUUUUUCCAGGUUGACCUCGGAUCAGGUAGGGAUACCCGCUGAACUUAAGCAUAUCAAUAAGCGGAGGA